This 253-nucleotide ribosomal RNA is filed under the name uncultured bacterium. Its description in RNAcentral is "partial 16S ribosomal RNA". It matches the Rfam family "Bacterial small subunit ribosomal RNA", at positions 524 to 776 of the family's 1533-position model. The record is from RNAcentral.
UACGUAGGGGGCAAGCGUUGUCCGGAAUCACUGGGCUUAAAGCGUGUGUAGGUGGAUGCCUAAGUACCUUGUGAAAUCCCACGGCUUAACCAUGGAAUUGCUUGGUAUACUGGGUGUCUUGAGCCACUCAGGGGCUACCGGAACAAACGGUGGAGCGGUGAAAUGCGUAGAUAUCGUUUGGAACGCCAAUGGUGAAAACAGGUAGCUGGGGGUGUGCUGACACUGAGACACGAAAGCCAGGGGAGCAAACGGG